AUUGAACGCUGGCGGCAGGCCUAACACAUGCAAGUCGAGCGGUAACACAGGGAGCUUGCUCCCGGGUGACGAGCGGCGGACGGGUGAGUAAUGUCUGGGAAACUGCCUGAUGGAGGGGGAUAACUACUGGAAACGGUAGCUAAUACCGCAUAACGUCGCAAGACCAAAGAGGGGGACCUUCGGGCCUCUUGCCAUCAGAUGUGCCCAGAUGGGAUUAGCUAGUAGGUGGGGUAAUGGCUCACCUAGGCGACGAUCCCUAGCUGGUCUGAGAGGAUGACCAGCCACACUGGAACUGGGACACGGUCCAGACUCCUACGGGAGGCAGCAGUGGGGAAUAUUGCACAAUGGGCGCAAGCCUGAUGCAGCCAUGCCGCGUGUAUGAAGAAGGCCUUCGGGUUGUAAAGUACUUUCAGCGGGGAGGAAGGUGUUGAGGUUAAUAACCUCAGCAAUUGACGUUACCCGCAGAAGAAGCACCGGCUAACUCCGUGCCAGCCGCCGCGGUAA
RNAcentral lists this ribosomal RNA (504 nucleotides) under uncultured bacterium. Its description in RNAcentral is "partial 16S ribosomal RNA". It matches the Rfam family "Bacterial small subunit ribosomal RNA", at positions 30 to 523 of the family's 1533-position model. The record is from RNAcentral.